UACGUAGGCAGCGAGCGUUGUUCGGAAUUACUGGGCGUAAAGAGUGUGUAGGCGGUGCUCUAAGUUCGGUGUGAAAUCUCCUGGCUCAACUGGGAGGGUGCGCCGGAAACUGGAGUGCUUGAGCGUGGGAGAGGAAAGCGGAAUUCCUGGUGUAGCGAUGAAAUGCGUAGAUAUCAGGAGGAACACCUGUGGUGUAGACGGCUUUCUGGACCAUAGCUGACGCUGAGACACGAAAGCGUGGGUAGCAAACAGG
Molecule: ribosomal RNA, 253 nt
Filed under: uncultured bacterium
Lineage: Bacteria
Description: partial 16S ribosomal RNA
Rfam family: Bacterial small subunit ribosomal RNA
Source: RNAcentral